AAAAGCGGAGGAAAAGAAACCAACAGGGAUUGCCUCAGUAGCGGCGAGUGAAGCGGCAAAAGCUCAAAUUUGAAAUCUGGCGUCUUUGGCGUCCGAGUUGUAAUUUGAAGAAGGUAUCUUUGGGCCCGGCUCUUGUCUAUGUUCCUUGGAACAGGACGUCACAGAGGGUGAGAAUCCCGUGCGAUGAGAUGACCCGGGUCUGUGUAAAGUUCCUUCGACGAGUCGAGUUGUUUGGGAAUGCAGCUCUAAGUGGGUGGUAAAUUCCAUCUAAAGCUAAAUAUUGGCGAGAGACCGAUAGCGAACAAGUACAGUGAUGGAAAGAUGAAAAGAACUUUGAAAAGAGAGUGAAAAAGUACGUGAAAUUGUUGAAAGGGAAGGGCUUGAGAUCAGACUUGGUAUUUUGCAUGCUGCUCUCUCGGGGGCGGCCGCUGCGGUUUACCGGGCCAGCAUCGGUUUGGAGCGGCAGGAUAAUGGCGGAGGAAUGUGGCACGGCUUUUGCUUUUUUAUAGCCUCUGACGAUACUGCCAGCCUAGACU
Molecule: ribosomal RNA, 536 nt
Filed under: Candida albicans
Lineage: Eukaryota; Fungi; Ascomycota; Pichiomycetes; Serinales; Debaryomycetaceae
Description: eukaryotic LSU rRNA
Rfam family: Eukaryotic large subunit ribosomal RNA
Source: RNAcentral